UGACCGUAGCUCAGUUGAUAGAGCAUUGGACAUUUGGACUAGUAUCCCAAAGGUCGCGGGGUUCGAUUCCCACCAUGGUCAG
Non-coding RNA from Paramuricea clavata, 82 nucleotides. Lineage: Eukaryota; Metazoa; Cnidaria; Anthozoa; Malacalcyonacea; Plexauridae. The record is from the annotation of a GenBank genome assembly.